UUACAGCACACACUGCCAACAUGCUGGGGAGCCUCUGCACUCUCAUCACUGCUCUAACAUGUGUGAGUGGUGUGACGCUGGUGACACAGAAGCCUCCUGUUGUGGCGCUGACGACAGGACAGACAGCCACCAUGGACUGUAACCUGGGAACUGUUACUGAUUACUCUGCUCGCUGGUAUAAACAGGUUCCAGGAGGAGUUCCUCAGCAUGUACUGAGGUUUCGCCACGACUGGAGCUCUGUGAGAUAUGGCUCUGGAUUCUCCUCUCCCAAAUUCACAUCUAAUCAUCAGUCACAAACAGAUUAUCGUCUGAUCAUCAACAAUUUGGAGGAGGAAGACUCAGCCAUCUAUUACUGUACAACAUGGGACGGCUCUGUCAAUGAGUUCGUAUCACAGUGA
Myripristis murdjan (pinecone soldierfish) is the source of this 398-nucleotide non-coding RNA. Lineage: Eukaryota; Metazoa; Chordata; Actinopteri; Holocentriformes; Holocentridae. The record is from the annotation of a RefSeq genome assembly.